This is a long non-coding RNA of Nicotiana attenuata, 766 nucleotides long. RefSeq lists it as uncharacterized. The record is from RefSeq and is a predicted model, not a curated record. The transcript is spliced from 4 exons. NCBI's taxonomy places the organism in Eukaryota, Viridiplantae, Streptophyta, Magnoliopsida, Solanales, Solanaceae.
UUGCAAUUCGUUUUUAUUAUUUGCUAUAAUGUAAAGAUAUAUCACUCACUGCAUCUAACUUGAAUUGAUAGUAUUAAUCCUCUUGAUUCGUACAUAUGGUUCGAAUUAUACGGCUCACCAUCUGAUCGAGACGUUAACCUUCUCGGUAGUGUUAUCCAGGCAUGGUAUGUCAUCGGCUGAUUAGGCGCAUUUAACUCAUCUAAUUUGCAGGUUCAUAUUUGUGUUAAAGGAAUGCAGCUGGGGGUUCAUCGUUGGAGUUUGAUCCUCUUUAUGAUGCAGCGAAGGCUCCAAGGUGAUGCCUUCAUCGUUCCAUGACGUAAGUAAUGUUGAAUUCCAGGACAAUUGGUGCAGAGUUUGGGUGGAUCUUGGUGUAUACGGUUAAAAUCGGGCUUGCCCGAUUUUGCUAUUUAAUCGAGAUCGGGAAAUCACAUCGAGGGUCAGCCUCGCAAAGGAUCGGGCUAUAACACGAAGACGAGGUGUCGAGUUCAAGAAUCGAGAUGUUCGUCGAGGCCGAGGCUAGCAAUCGAGACUAGGUAUGACCAACUUCGAGUAAAGUGCAAUAACGGAAAGGCGAGAUAUCCGUAACCGGUAGAAGAUCACGGCAGAAAUCCCGGAAUAGAUCAAAUCAAGGGCGGUUAUUUGUACCAAUCAUGGGAUUUACUUCCAUAAAAGAAUAAUUGUACCAUAAUUAAGAUUCUUCUAGUAUAUAAAGGGGAGUUCCCAUCAUUUGUGAAGGACCUACAUUCACGAAUAUCAAAGCAAUAUA